Molecule: transfer RNA, 73 nt
Organism: Isoptericola variabilis 225
Lineage: Bacteria; Bacillati; Actinomycetota; Actinomycetes; Micrococcales; Promicromonosporaceae
Rfam family: tRNA
About the family: Transfer RNA (tRNA) molecules are approximately 80 nucleotides in length. Their secondary structure includes four short double-helical elements and three loops (D, anti-codon, and T loops).
Source: Rfam
GCGCCUGUAGCUCAGUGGAUAGAGCGUCUGCCUCCGGAGCAGAAGGUCGGGGGUUCGAAUCCCUUCAGGCGCA